GGGGUAUGCCCGCUCCGGGAAGUGGGGGCGGAGGGGGUAUGCCCGCUCCGGGUAGAGGGGGUGGAGGAGGUAUGCCCGCUCCGGGAAGAGGGGGAGGAGGGGGUAUGCCCGCUCCGGGAAGUGGGGGCGGAGGGGGUAUGCCCGCUCCGGGAAGUGGGGGAGGAGGGGGUAUGCCCGCUCCGGGUAGAGGGGGUGGAGGAGGUAUUCCUGCUCCGGGAAGAGGGGGAGGAAGGGGUAUGCCCGCUCCGGGAAGAGGAGGGGGAGGGGGUGGCAGCAUUUCUGUACCCUGCAGAGGAGGAGGUUGGGGAAUGGCUGUACUGGGCAGAGUAGGCACUGUCAUGCCAGGGAGAGGGGGAGGUGGGGGAGGCACCAUGCCCAGGCCAGGCAUGGAGCUGGAGGACUCUGUGCAAGGCAGAGGUGGUGGAGAUGGGAUGUUACAGCUGUUUUUAAAGGCAGAGGAAACAGAGUGUUCGUGGCUGGUUUGAAACUCGGUAGAAAUAGAAUGGGGCGGCUGUGACCCAGGCUGUCCUUGCCCAGCAGACCACAGAAGGGAUGGAGGUGGUGGAGGCUGUGAGAUGCUCUGUGUGGGCUGAUGGCUGUCGAGCUGGACUGAUAUUCGCCUUGGAGACACAAUCAAAGAAAUCUCUGAACAGAACUUUGUCUGAGGUCCACUUUCAGCCCCAGGGGGGCAUGGAGGACGCCCUGGCAGCCCAUCCACAGGAGGCAGUGUCAGCACCCCGCCCUCUUCCGUGGGGGAAGUCUGUAUCGAUUUCGCCUCUAAAAUCCUAUGAUGCCGUACUUCCUUUUCUUCUAACCUGAGAGCUUCGAGACAGACAUCGCCUGAGGCUGUCACUCCAUUCUCAAGCCCUUGAUGACCACUGGCCACCUCUGUGUCCAGGGCAGGAUACUGCCUCUCUAGUUCAGCUAUUUUGGUUCUCAGAUCCUCAAUAGUCUGUUCCAGCUGCUGAAUUACAGUGGCCUGUCCCUCAGACUUCAUGUCAACAACUUCCU
RNAcentral lists this long non-coding RNA (1011 nucleotides) under Homo sapiens (human). RNAcentral describes it as "non-protein coding lnc-GREM2-12:1". Lineage: Eukaryota; Metazoa; Chordata; Mammalia; Primates; Hominidae. The record is from RNAcentral.